GUGUCGGGUUGCUUUGCAACUGCAUGAUGGCCGCUGCCGCUAAGCUAGCCCUAAACAACUAGCGUUAGGUCAUACGUGCUAAAUUGUUUUUAAAAUUAGCUCAGGUACAACAUGUGCCGUUGUUGGUUGCCACAAAAUUCAUGAAACUUUACGUUUUUUUCAGAAAUGUCUGGUGUAGUACAUCAACCACUUAGACAAACUUGUCCGUGCCCUGCGCCCUACACGCCAUGCUGAGGAAGGAGAAACGGAGACUUGCGCGGCUCGUGGCUUUGACACUAAAAUAAAUAUUUGGGUUUAUGAAUAUCUUCCACAAUAUAGCUGCUGCAUGACUGUAUGACUUUCCUAACCCGACAAUGUCCAAGCAGCCGCCUGUCUCCACGACUUCACUUUCCUUCAGCAUUAUCCACGCUGAAUGUUUAGCUUGAUUGACACUCUGGCUGGGCGCUGCUGCUGCCUUCAGAAAUAACUCGCUGUGUUUCUUCAACAGUACUUUCCCUAUUUUGUUACUGAGCAGGUAGUUGUAUGCUUCUGUGCUUUUGUAACUGCGUAAUUUUCCGCCGUCAACACCUUCAGAAAAUAUAAGAUAAGCAUUAGCCCGACGUUAGCCACAUCGCUAACGUCGGGCUAAUGCUUCAUGUCAUCUGCCCACUCCGUGAGAACUGACGGGUGAGGCACUGUGAGAACUGUCCUCACAACUUAUUACAACAUCUGUUCUGUGUAUCCACCUCCGAUUUUUAUCCAUUCUGUCGCUUUCUUUGUGUUAAAAGCCGGUUUUUAGAGCGAGCAUGACAGCUACGUUAGCGUAAACACCGAGGUCAGCCAGUGCAACCGGAAGAGCAUAACCGAAUACCACUAUGAACCAUGGGUAAACUCACGAAGUCAGGAAUAAGGUGGAUACAAAAACAAAUCGCUCCUGAUAAGCAGGUCUCCUUUAACAGAAGACGUCUGACAGAGCUCCGCCCCUCAACACACUCACCUGUGAACAAACCAGGAAACAGUCUGUUCCUCUUCCUCAAUACAGAGACACACAGACAGAGACGAUCAACUUCACCAUCAGAACAAAGUCCAACAAGAAGAGCGUCUUCUGAGUGAGUUCAGCUAUAAGAGAGAAAAACUACACUCAGCAGCACUUCUUCACCCUGCAGACACUCACACACUGAAGGUGAGUUUGACUGAAACACAACUCAAAGUGAAAGUAAAGUUCAGUGCUGUUAUUAGAGGAGUGAGCAGAGACGUGACUGACUGGACUUUCUGUCUGCUGUGUUUU
RNAcentral lists this long non-coding RNA (1267 nucleotides) under Sparus aurata (gilthead seabream). RNAcentral describes it as "lncRNA (ENSSAUG00010014057.1)". Lineage: Eukaryota; Metazoa; Chordata; Actinopteri; Spariformes; Sparidae. The record is from RNAcentral.